UAGAGGAGGUAUUUUAUUGGUUAUUUCCUACUAGCCAAUUGUAGUGCUUGUUAGUAGUGGCUCUGCCUUAUAUGCAUUUCAUAUUAACAAGAGCUUGCC
Molecule: long non-coding RNA, 99 nt
Organism: Amblyraja radiata (thorny skate)
Lineage: Eukaryota; Metazoa; Chordata; Chondrichthyes; Rajiformes; Rajidae
Exons: 3
Source: RefSeq, a predicted model, not a curated record